This 301-nucleotide ribosomal RNA is filed under the name uncultured bacterium. RNAcentral describes it as "partial 16S ribosomal RNA". It matches the Rfam family "Bacterial small subunit ribosomal RNA", at positions 509 to 807 of the family's 1533-position model. The record is from RNAcentral.
CAGCAGCCGCGGUAAUACGAAGGGGGCUAGCGUUGCUCGGAAUGACUGGGCGUAAAGGGCGCGUAGGCGGUUUUGACAGUCAGAUGUGAAAUUCCUGGGCUUAACCUGGGAACUGCGCUUGUGACUGCACAGCUAGAGUAUGGCAGAGGGGGGUGGAAUUCCACGUGUAGCAGUGAAAUGCGUAGAGAUGUGGAGGAACACCGAUGGCGAAGGCAGCCCCCUGGGCCAAUACUGACGCUGAGACUCGAAAGCGUGGGGAGCAAACAGGAUUAGAUACCCGGGUAGUCCCUGUCUCUUAUAC